UUUUGCUGAGAGGCACACACCCAUGCGCAUGUCUUAAUACUCUCUGAGUCGGUCUGCAGUGUCUUAUUUCUCUUACUUGUGAACAAAUGUCUUAACCCCUGACAUUUAAUUGGUCCUUCGAGCCGGAGAACUAACUGUUAUUUUUAACGUCUAGUUUUCCACAGACGGUCUUCAUCGAUCCUGACGUCGUGUUGCCUGCGCUGGAAAAAACCUGUGCACAGUAAAGGAGAAAAACCGGGACCAUUCGAUCUCCGGUCAGCGUCUUAUACAGGCCCCACGGCGCCAGGACCAGAUGAACCGGAUCCAAAACGCAGCACCACAGUAAGUCUCUUGCAGGUUGAACCCCGGUGAUUGGAUUCUGAUUAAAGUCCUCCAGCGGAAAAACUGGAGUGCUCCGAGGUGGGAGGGGCCCUUCCAGGUGUUGCUUACUACACUGACAGCUUGUAAGAUAGCCGAACGACCUU
This is a long non-coding RNA of Astatotilapia calliptera (eastern happy), 464 nucleotides long. The record is from Ensembl. NCBI's taxonomy places the organism in Eukaryota, Metazoa, Chordata, Actinopteri, Cichliformes, Cichlidae.